This 497-nucleotide ribosomal RNA is filed under the name uncultured bacterium. Its description in RNAcentral is "partial 16S ribosomal RNA". It matches the Rfam family "Bacterial small subunit ribosomal RNA", at positions 28 to 507 of the family's 1533-position model. The record is from RNAcentral.
GAUGAACGCUGGCGGCGUGCCUAAUACAUGCAAGUCGAGCGAACAGACGAGGAGCUUGCUCCUCUGACGUUAGCGGCGGACGGGUGAGUAACACGUGGAUAACCUACCUAUAAGACUGGGAUAACUUCGGGAAACCGGAGCUAAUACCGGAUAAUAUAUUGAACCGCAUGGUUCAAUAGUGAAAGACGGUUUUGCUGUCACUUAUAGAUGGAUCCGCGCCGCAUUAGCUAGUUGGUAAGGUAACGGCUUACCAAGGCAACGAUGCGUAGCCGACCUGAGAGGGUGAUCGGCCACACUGGAACUGAGACACGGUCCAGACUCCUACGGGAGGCAGCAGUAGGGAAUCUUCCGCAAUGGGCGAAAGCCUGACGGAGCAACGCCGCGUGAGUGAUGAAGGUCUUCGGAUCGUAAAACUCUGUUAUUAGGGAAGAACAAAUGUGUAAGUAACUAUGCACGUCUUGACGGUACCUAAUCAGAAAGCCACGGCUAACGACGUG